Molecule: long non-coding RNA, 488 nt
Filed under: Prunus persica (peach)
Lineage: Eukaryota; Viridiplantae; Streptophyta; Magnoliopsida; Rosales; Rosaceae
Description: long non-coding RNA (PPER_LNC005927)
Source: RNAcentral
GGGCUGUCCACCUGCAACUUGGCUUAUUUCUGUGACUUGGGCUCUUGAAUGGAGGAGGCUUUUGACUUGCCAAUUGGUCUUUGACUUGGGCAGUCCAGUUGUAACUGGGCUGGAGGCGAGGAGGCCUGCUGCUGGAGCAGGUGGCAGUUCGGGCCCGCUUAAUUACGGUUGGUCCAAACUGAUUCAAUUCCUUCUUCUUUUUUUGGUGCCACGAACUAGAAGCAGUAUGAGCCAAGGUGAUCAUGUGUGGCCUAUAGACGUGCUGAAAGUCAGCAGCAUAUGGGAAGAGGAGGUUGGCAACGGUCCGCUAUUCCUCUCACCUACUGUGAUGGUAAGUUGCAUCCCUUUGAUAUGCUGUAGUUACCAUGGAAUUUUUUGUUCUGUGUCUGACUGACUUCUGUCUCCUGCUUGUAGAAAAUGACAUCUGCAAGAAGCUUGAUCUCGGCCCGGACAUGACCAAUGUUCAUCAAGCUUUGAACAUCAUUGCC